UAUAAACAUGUACAUACAGUGCUGUACCUGAUGUUUGGAGCUCAGCUUGGUGUUUAGACACACCCAGUUUUCAGAGUCGUAGUUGACUCAGUAGAAUCCCUUCUUAUCAACAUUGGCGACCACCCAAACAUUAGCA
Etheostoma cragini (Arkansas darter) is the source of this 136-nucleotide long non-coding RNA. RefSeq lists it as uncharacterized. Lineage: Eukaryota; Metazoa; Chordata; Actinopteri; Perciformes; Percidae. The record is from RefSeq and is a predicted model, not a curated record. The transcript is spliced from 3 exons.